Molecule: ribosomal RNA, 465 nt
Filed under: uncultured bacterium
Lineage: Bacteria
Description: partial 16S ribosomal RNA
Rfam family: Bacterial small subunit ribosomal RNA
Source: RNAcentral
GACGAACGCUGGCGGCGUGCUUAACACAUGCAAGUCGAACGGAAAGGCCCUGCUUGCAGGGUACUCGAGUGGCGAACGGGUGAGUAACACGUGGGUGAUCUGCCCUGCACUUCGGGAUAAGCCUGGGAAACUGGGUCUAAUACCGGAUAGGAGCCAUUUUUAGUGUGAUGGUUGGAAAGUUUUUUCGGUGUAGGAUGAGCUCGCGGCCUAUCAGCUUGUUGGUGGGGUAAUGGCCUACCAAGGCGGCGACGGGUAGCCGGCCUGAGGGGGUGGACGGCCAAACUGGGACCGAGAGACGGCCCCGACUCCGACGGGAGGCAGAAGGGGGGAAGAUUGAACAAUGGGCGCAAGCCUGAUGCAGCGACGCCGCGUGGGGGAUGACGGCCUUCGGGUUGUAAACUCCUUUCGCUAGGGACGAAGCUUUUUGUGACGGUACCUAGAGAAGAAGCACCGGCUAACUACGUG